Molecule: ribosomal RNA, 831 nt
Filed under: uncultured Alphaproteobacteria bacterium
Lineage: Bacteria; Pseudomonadati; Pseudomonadota; Alphaproteobacteria
Description: bacterial SSU rRNA
Rfam family: Bacterial small subunit ribosomal RNA
Source: RNAcentral
AGUCGAGCGGGGUAGCAAUACCUAGCGGCAGACGGGUGCGUAACAUGUGGGAAUCUGCCUUUUGGUUCGGAACAACAUGGGGAAACCUGUGCUAAUACCGGAUAAGUCCUAACGGAGAAAGUUUUAAUGCCAAAAGAUGAGCCCGCAUUUGAUUAGCUUGUUGGUGAGGUAAAAGCUCACCAAGGCUAUAAUCAAUAGCUGAUUUGAGAGGAUGAUCAGCCACACUGGGACUGAGAUACGGCCCAGACUCCUACGGGAGGCAGCAGUGGGGAAUCUUGCACAAUGGGCGAAAGCCUGAUGCAGCGAUGCCGCGUGAGUGAAGAAGGCCUUUGGGUUGUAAAGCUCUUUUGUCGGGAAAGAUAAUGACUGUACCCGAAGAAUAAGGUCCGGCUAACUUCGUGCCAGCAGCCGCGGUAAUACGAAGGGACCUAGCGUAGUUCGGAAUUACUGGGCGUAAAGAGUAUGUAGGCGGCUAGAUAAGUUAAUUGUGAAAGCCCAAAGCUUAACUUUGGAACUGCAAUUAAAACUAUUUAGCUGGAGUAUGAUAGAGGAAAGCGGAAUACAUAGUGUAGAGGUGAAAUUCGUAGAUAUUAUGUAGAACACCAGUUGCGAAGGCGGCUUUCUGGAUCAUUACUGACGCUGAGAUACGAAAGUAUGGGUAGCGAAGAGGAUUAGAUACCCUCGUAGUCCAUACCAUAAACGAUGAUUAUUAAAUGUGGGGAAUUAUUUCUCUGUAUUAUAGCUAACGCGUUAAAUAAUCCGCCUGGGGAGUACGACCGCAAGGUUAAAACUCAAAUGAAUUGACGGGGACCCGCACAAGCGGUGGAGCAU